RNAcentral lists this ribosomal RNA (1304 nucleotides) under Clostridioides difficile. RNAcentral describes it as "partial 23S ribosomal RNA". It matches the Rfam family "Bacterial large subunit ribosomal RNA", at positions 1391 to 2703 of the family's 2925-position model. Lineage: Bacteria; Bacillati; Bacillota; Clostridia; Peptostreptococcales; Peptostreptococcaceae. The record is from RNAcentral.
CUAAGCUGAGGCCGAAAGGCGUAGGUGAUGGACAACAGGUUGAUAUUCCUGUACUACCGAUAACCGUUUGAGAGAAGGGAUGACACAGUAGGAUAAGCUAAGCACACUGUUGGUUAUGUGUGCCCAAGCAUUGAGGCAGUCAAAGUAGGCAAAUCCGCUUUGAUAAUGCUGGGAUGUGAUGGGGAGCGAAAUUUAGUAGCGAAGUAGCUGAUUUCACACUGUCAAGAAAAGUCUCUAUCGAGGUUAAAGGUACCCGUACCGCAAACCGACACAGGUGGGUGAGGAGAGUAUCCUAAGGCCAGCGAGAGAACUGUUGUUAAGGAACUCGGCAAAAUGACCCCGUAACUUAGGGAUAAGGGGUGCCACCAUCAGGUGGCCGCAGAGAAUAGGCCCAAGCGACUGUUUACCAAAAACAUAGGUUUCUGCUAAGUCGCAAGACGAUGUAUAGGAGCUGACGCCUGCCCGGUGCUGGAAGGUUAAGGGGAUCUGUUAGAGCAAUCGAAGCAGUGAACUUAAGCCCCAGUAAACGGCGGCCGUAACUAUAACGGUCCUAAGGUAGCGAAAUUCCUUGUCGGGUAAGUUCCGACCCGCACGAAAGGCGUAACGAUUUGGGCACUGUCUCAACAACAGACUCGGUGAAAUUGUAAUUCCGGUGAAGAUGCCGGAUACCUGCGACAGGACGGAAAGACCCCAUGGAGCUUUACUGUAGCUUGACAUUGGGUCUUGGUACUACAUGUACAGGAUAGGUGGGAGGCUUUGAAACCAGGACGCCAGUUUUGGCGGAGCCAUCCUUGGGAUACCACCCUUGUAGUACUGGGACUCUAACCAUAGGCCAUGAAUCUGGUCUUGGGACACUGUCAGGUGGGCAGUUUGACUGGGGCGGUCGCCUCCCAAAAGGUAACGGAGGCGCUCAAAGGUUCUCUCAGUACGGUCGGAAAUCGUACGUAGAGUGUAAAGGCAAAAGAGAGCUUGAUUGCAAGACAUACAGGUCGAGCAAGGAUGAAAAUCGGACUUAGUGAUCCGGUGGUUCUGCGUGGAAGGGCCAUCGCUCAACGGAUAAAAGCUACCCUGGGGAUAACAGGCUUAUCUCCCCCAAGAGUCCACAUCGACGGGGAGGUUUGGCACCUCGAUGUCGGCUCAUCACAUCCUGGGGCUGUAGUAGGUCCCAAGGGUUGGGCUGUUCGCCCAUUAAAGUGGUACGCGAGCUGGGUUCAGAACGUCGUGAGACAGUUCGGUCCCUAUCCGUCGCAGGCGUAGGAAAUUUGAGAAGACCUGUCCUUAGUACGAGAGGACCGGGAUGGACG